Molecule: ribosomal RNA, 465 nt
Filed under: Vreelandella stevensii
Lineage: Bacteria; Pseudomonadati; Pseudomonadota; Gammaproteobacteria; Oceanospirillales; Halomonadaceae
Description: partial 16S ribosomal RNA
Rfam family: Bacterial small subunit ribosomal RNA
Source: RNAcentral
CCUACGGGUGGCAGCAGUGGGGAAUAUUGGACAAUGGGGGCAACCCUGAUCCAGCCAUGCCGCGUGUGUGAAGAAGGCCCUCGGGUUGUAAAGCACUUUCAGUGAGGAAGAACGCCUGGUGGUUAAUACCCAUCAGGAAAGACAUCACUCACAGAAGAAGCACCGGCUAACUCCGUGCCAGCAGCCGCGGUAAUACGGAGGGUGCGAGCGUUAAUCGGAAUUACUGGGCGUAAAGCGCGCGUAGGUGGCUUGAUAAGCCGGUUGUGAAAGCCCCGGGCUCAACCUGGGAACGGCAUCCGGAACUGUCAAGCUAGAGUGCAGGAGAGGAAGGUAGAAUUCCCGGUGUAGCGGUGAAAUGCGUAGAGAUCGGGAGGAAUACCAGUGGCGAAGGCGGCCUUCUGGACUGACACUGACACUGAGGUGCGAAAGCGUGGGUAGCAAACAGGGUUAGAUACCCCUGUAGUC